CAAGGACGGCAAGGGUAUUCCAAAUCUGUUUAAAAAACCGCCAGCCCUGUCUGGACGCCCCACGAACAUGACCAAUACUGAAAGGUACUGGCGCGCGGUAUCUCCCCCCAAGUACCCAGCCAGUGAAGGUACCGAGGAAUGCGUACCUUUGUUCCACUCCUAAUGGUCUUGACCCGGAUUCAUCCCCCAGAACCCGG
Pseudomonas aeruginosa C3719 is the source of this 197-nucleotide non-coding RNA. The record is from Rfam. NCBI's taxonomy places the organism in Bacteria, Pseudomonadati, Pseudomonadota, Gammaproteobacteria, Pseudomonadales, Pseudomonadaceae.